UCCCUCAGUAAGGGCGACUGAAGCGGGAAGAGCUCACCGUGUGAAUCGGCAUUUAUGCCGAGUUGUGGUCUGUAGAAGCAUUGUCGGUCGAGGUUCCGGGCUAAGUCUCUUGGAAAAGAGCAGCUGAGAGGGUGACACUCCCGUUCUUGCCUGGAAUCUGCGAUCAUGGCACGUGCCUUCAACGAGUCGAGUUGCUUGGGAUUGCAGCUCAAAUGCGUGGUAUACUCCAUGUAAAGCUAAAUAUAGGUAGGAAACCGAUAGCGCACAAGUACUGUGAAGGAAAGAUGCAAAGAACUUUGAAAAGAGAGUUAAAGAGUACCUGAAACUGUUGAAAGGGAAGCAAAUGGAAACAGUGUGUUUCCGUACCAUUCUUCCUUCGUGGCUUGCCACGGGGGCGCUGUGGUGCGGGAGUGGUCAGCAUGGGUUUGACUCGGAACAUAUAGCUAUUCAGGAGGCAUCUGUCUUUUCAGAGAUUACUGUUUAGUGUUGUUCUGGGUUGGAUCGAGGUUAGUAUUUCGUGAUGCUGACGAAAUGUUUCUAUUUACCCCGUCUUGAAACACGGACCAAGGAGUCUAACAUGUUCGCGAGUAUCUGAGUGGCAAACUCAUAUGCGCAAUGAAAGUAACAGUGGUAGGACCUUCUGGGGCACUAUCCGCCGGCAUUGAUCCUUCGGGAGAAAGGUCUGAGUGUGAGCAUACAUGUUGGGACCCGAAAGAUGGUGAACUAUGCCUGAAUAGGGUGAAGCCACCGGAAACGGUGGUGGAGGCUCGUAGCGGUUCUGACGUGCAAAUCGAUCGUCAAAUUUGGGUAUAGGGGCGAAAGACUAAUCGAACCAUCUAGUAGCUGG
This 847-nucleotide ribosomal RNA is filed under the name Chaetoceros sp. RNAcentral's name for it is "partial large subunit ribosomal RNA". It matches the Rfam family "Eukaryotic large subunit ribosomal RNA", at positions 76 to 954 of the family's 3401-position model. The record is from RNAcentral. Lineage: Eukaryota; Bacillariophyta; Thalassiosirophyceae; Chaetocerotales; Chaetocerotaceae.